UCUCUCAACUGACCCAGUGAUCAUGUUGGACUUGGAACUGCAACUCUGCAACUACUACCUCUCCCUAAUUCUACAUUUCCCAACCCCAACACAAUCACUGCGUCUAUUCCUCUUAUUUCUUCCCCACGUCUUCGUAGAUUCCAACCCUUCCCUCCCCUCUCGUUCUCUUGUACCGGCUCGCUACUUGGUUUUCAAUUCGCUGGUAAAUGAUUCUCCCGUUUUUGUAUAACUAAUGGACUGCUGACAAACUUUUAUCAGUGAGCCAGCUUCGGCAAAUAUCAACGAUGCGGACCAAUGCGUUCAAACUUGGAGGCCUUCAUCAGAUAUCAUGGUUCCAGUUUCUUCCCCAUGAAACCGAAUUGAACCCUCUACCAGAUAAAAGUGUGGAAGUAGAGCAGAAAUAUAUUGCUACAAUGUUGGUGCGUUCAUCUCAUCUGCAGUUGCAAAAGGAAGGAUUUCUCAGCACAUGGGUCAAUUCCCUUGUUGGGCCCUGGGAUCCAUAUCACUAUAUUAGAUUCUGCACAAUCCUGAUGAGAAAAUUAAGCUUUGAUUUUUUCUUCCUGGGCGUCAUUCAUCAGUUGUUGAGACUGCUCAAAGUGCAGUCUUCAGAUUAGAAGUUACUACAUCUGGAAUCUGGUUGGCUCUUGGGGACUCAGAAGAGGUUGCAGCUGCACUUUCCCAGGCUUCAAGGAAUUGUAUAGAAAGGUCACUGAUCAUCAACUUUUCAAAACUUCAAGGGGAAAAGUUUGUCAUGGAAGUGUAUACCAAGAUCACUAAUCAUCAAUUUUUUGAAACUUCAAGCGGAAAAUUCUGUCAUGUUCAUAACAUGAUAUUUAUUUUAUUGGAACUGGCAGGAAACUUAUUGGACUUUCCUACAUGAGAUUUGGAGAUGUGUUUUCAAAGUAUCGUCCAUCUCAAAGCGACAGAAUUUUCAGGUUUGUUCACAAUCAUAUGUUGAUAAAUAAUUGUAUUAAUGGUGGUGAUUGUAGAUAUUCAUUUAUCAAUUGAAUGUUAAUGUAUACAAUUUAGGAAUGUAUCUCUCUGUUAAUAUUAGUUGUACAAAAUAUAUUUACCAUGUAUAGAUUUUGAAUAUUAGGAAUAAUUUAGACUUUCCCGUUUAUAGCAUAUUAUCUACUUUCCUUGUAUGGAUUGGUGAUUACGUUGAUAAUGAGAAGUGGCUGAAUGGUGAUAGCCAGUUUUUCCAAAAAGCUCUCUUUGUAUUUCUGGUUUCCCUAGUAUUUUGACAUGGUAUCAAGAGCCAGGUUCGUGACUCUUGCCUGUUUUGAUUUUUUUUUUUUGUCUUUGGGGAUUUAGGCACCAUCUGUUGCUGGUUUCUGGUGAGUUUGUGGAUUUCGGUGCUCCUUGUUACGUGUUUCUGGUUCCCAGGAAGCUGUCAGCGAUCUCUGUUGCAGUUCCUGGUUGGGUUAUGCAAUUUGGUCGUGUCUGUGCCAUUUUCUUGCUUCUGGUCUGCAUUUUGGCGUCAUCUGUGUGAGUUCCUUGGGUCUCUUCUGGAUUUCGGCGCAAUUUCUCUUGGUUUCUGGUUUGAUUUCCUCUUUUGGCACUCUCUGAUUUGGUUGGGACUCUUUGUUUUGUCUUCUCUGGUCAGUUCCGUGUGCAGCCUCCUUGGUUUGCUGGUCUGAGUUCUUUUGGUAAUCCCUUUUCGACACCUGUUUGUUUUGGCACCUUUUUUUUUUUUUCUCCCUCUUGUGCUUGUUGCAGUCAUCUUCUAGUGGGCUAUUUUAUUCUUGAUUCCAUCAUGUCAUCAGAUAAAUUAGACUCGUUCCAUAUUCGUAUUACUGGCAAAAAUUAUUCCGUUAUGAGAGUUUCAAUUUGAAUUAUUUCUCAAAGGGAAAGAGUUGUGGGUCAUAUUGACGGAAGUGAUCCCGCACCUAGAGAUGUAGAGGCUUUGUCUAAGUGAGAAAUCAAGAAUGUUAUGACCUGGAUUCUUAGCUCGGUUGAGCCUCUCCUUGUUCUCAAUCUGAGGCCUUAUAAAACUACCGCUGAUAUGUGGAAAUACCUUAACAAGGUUUACAAUCAAGAUAACACAGCUUGGCGUUUUCAAUUGGAGUAUGAGAUGGCUAAUUUCACACAGGGAAGUCUCUCCAUUGAGGAAUAUUUUUCUGGUUUUCAAAAUCUGUAGGCUGACUAUUCAGACAUUGUUUAUGCUAAUGUUCCCGCUGCAGCUCUCUUUGUUGUUCAAGUAGUGCAUGAAACAAGCAAGAGAGAUCAGUUCUUGAUGAGGCUCCGUUCCGACUUUGAAAUUGGACGUUCUAAUUUGAUGAAUCGUCAUCCUUUACCAUCUCUUGAUACUUGGUUGAGUGAACUUCUUCGUGAGGAGCAGCGUAUAGUAACUCAGGUUGCAAUGGAACAUUGGGCUAAUGUUAGUGCACCUGUUACUGUGGCUUAUGCAGCACAGGGGAGGAGUAAGGGUAGAGAUAUGCGUGUUGUCCAGUGCUUUAGUUGUAAAGCUUUUGGUCAUAUUGCUCAGGUUUGCCCAAAGAAGUUUUGUAACUACUGCAAGAAACAGGGCCAUAUCAUCUCCGCUUGUCCCAUUCGCCUUGAAAGGAAGUAGGAUACUACUUAUAAUGCCUCCACUGGUGCCUUUAGCUUUGAUGCAUUGCUUGCUGCCUCGUCAGUUGUUCGUAUUUCUGUUCCUACAGCCUUAGCAAACCCGAACACACUCAUUCUUGAAAUGGAUCAAGUGUUAGGGAAGAUGAUUGCGAAGGGGCCUAAAGUGGGACGACUCUUUCCUCUCCACGUUUCUCCUUCCACCUUUAUCCCUAGUUUUCCUUUACUUUCCUUUGUAUGUAAUGUUGUUGGUUCUGGAAAUAAGAUGUGGCAUAGACGUCUAGGCUACCCGAACUUUGAUGUACUUUGUACUUUGUUUAAUUAUGGUUUAUUGGGAAAUAAAGCAUGUUCUUCUCUUGAUCUUUUUUUUUUUAUUGUACAUCAUGCAAACUUGUCUAAAAUAAAGUUCUACAUUUUUCUCA
This is a long non-coding RNA of Juglans microcarpa x Juglans regia, 2990 nucleotides long. RefSeq lists it as uncharacterized. The record is from RefSeq and is a predicted model, not a curated record. The transcript is spliced from 7 exons. Lineage: Eukaryota; Viridiplantae; Streptophyta; Magnoliopsida; Fagales; Juglandaceae.